AGAGUUUGAUCAUGGCUCAGAUUGAACGCUGGCGGCAUGCUUUACACAUGCAAGUCGAACGGCAGCGCGGGGCAACCUGGCGGCGAGUGGCGAACGGGUGAGUAAUAUAUCGGAACGUACCCAAGAGUGGGGGAUAACGUAGCGAAAGUUACGCUAAUACCGCAUACGAUCUAAGGAUGAAAGUGGGGGAUCUUCGGACCUCAUGCUCCUGGAGCGGCCGAUAUCUGAUUAGCUAGUUGGUGAGGUAAAGGCUCACCAAGGCGACGAUCAGUAGCUGGUCUGAGAGGACGACCAGCCACACUGGAACUGAGACACGGUCCAGACUCCUACGGGAGGCAGCAGUGGGGAAUUUUGGACAAUGGGCGCAAGCCUGAUCCAGCAAUGCCGCGUGAGUGAAGAAGGCCUUCGGGUUGUAAAGCUCUUUUGUCAGGGAAGAAACGGUAGAGGCUAAUAUCCUUUGCUAAUGACGGUACCUGAAGAAUAAGCACCGGCUAACUACGUGCCAGCAGCCGCGGUAAUACGUAGGGUGCAAGCGUUAAUCGGAAUUACUGGGCGUAAAUCGUGCGCAGGCGGUUUUGUAAGUCUGACGUGAAAUCCCCGGGCUCAACCUGGGAAUUGCGUUGGAGACUGCAAGGCUAGAAUCUGGCAGAGGGGGGUAGAAUUCCACGUGUAGCAGUGAAAUGCGUAGAGAUGUGGAGGAACACCGAUGGCGAAGGCAGCCCCCUGGGUCAAGAUUGACGCUCAUGCACGAAAGCGUGGGGAGCAAACAGGAUUAGAUACCCCGGUAGUCC
RNAcentral lists this ribosomal RNA (791 nucleotides) under uncultured bacterium. RNAcentral describes it as "bacterial SSU rRNA". It matches the Rfam family "Bacterial small subunit ribosomal RNA", at positions 8 to 796 of the family's 1533-position model. The record is from RNAcentral.